RNAcentral lists this transfer RNA (72 nucleotides) under Ictidomys tridecemlineatus (thirteen-lined ground squirrel). RNAcentral describes it as "Spermophilus tridecemlineatus (thirteen-lined ground squirrel) tRNA". It matches the Rfam family "tRNA". From Rfam's summary of the family: Transfer RNA (tRNA) molecules are approximately 80 nucleotides in length. Their secondary structure includes four short double-helical elements and three loops (D, anti-codon, and T loops). The record is from Rfam by way of RNAcentral. Lineage: Eukaryota; Metazoa; Chordata; Mammalia; Rodentia; Sciuridae.
CGGGAUGUGGCUCACUGGUAGAACACGUGCUUAGUAUGCAUGAGGCCCUGGGUUCAGUUCCCAGCCUCCAAA